This is a long non-coding RNA of Tyto alba (common barn owl), 1028 nucleotides long. RefSeq lists it as uncharacterized. The record is from RefSeq and is a predicted model, not a curated record. The transcript has 2 exons. NCBI's taxonomy places the organism in Eukaryota, Metazoa, Chordata, Aves, Strigiformes, Tytonidae.
UGUCUCUACGCUCGUGUAGCGGGAGGGAGCGCAGGUCGCGGCGGUGGGGACGCGCUCGCCAACAGCCGCCUUCUGCCAGCUCCAAAAGGUUUUAAGGUGAGGGGACAGGGACAGGCUCGCCACAGCUGCCUUCUGCCAGCUCCAAAAGAUUUUGAGAUGAGGGGACAGGGACACGCUCGCCAACAGACUCCUUCUACGAGCCCCAGAAGGUUUUCAGGUGAGGGGACAGGGACACGCUCGCCAACAGACUCUUUCUGCAAGCUCUAGAAGAUUUUCAGUUGAUGGGACAGUGACAUGGUCGCCACAGCCACCCUCUCCCAGCUCCAAAAUAUUUUGACUCUGCAAGCUCCAAAAGAUUUUGAGCCCCACUGAGCCCCUGGCCCAGCAGCCAAGGCCACCGCCGGCCGCACGACACGACGCGCUGCACGGGACGCUUUGAUCCGCUGACGCUGCUGGAGGUCGGCGGGCACUUCGCUGUUGACUUAAAUUAGUUCAGGUCGAAAAUUCUUGCAACAAGGGAAAUGUCAUCCUGAGGACUGGACAGGAUGUUAUGACUGAAGGGUAAUUGAGAGAGCACACAAACACACCCCCUAAUUCAUUCCAAAAGCAUGUUUUGUUACAAGCCAGUAUCGCAGCCCUCAGGGCCUGUGGUGACCAGGACCUCCUAACCCACAUCUGCCUGCCGAAGGAUUCGCCUACUCCCACUCGCUGUAGAGAAGCACAGAUUCAACUCUGAGAUGUGUUCUCACAGGAAAACUAAACUUCAACCUACAGCCAGGCUGGGGUAAGGGUAAAAGCCUGCAAACUAAAGAUGUAUUUUUUUAAAGCCAGAAAGAAAAAAGGAGCUCUUGUCCCUCAGCGUAUCUACCAAAGCUCCCCAGCUGAAAGGCAAGAUAAAUAUUCUGGUAUGUAUUUUUAGGAAGUAAGAUAAUGUUCUUCCUGUCACAGAAUUAGUUCUUACUUGCUUUCACUUUUAAUAGUGACUAUCUGGGGCAUUGUGAAAAUAAACACAGUACUUCAAGAGCUGA